RNAcentral lists this ribosomal RNA (519 nucleotides) under uncultured bacterium. Its description in RNAcentral is "bacterial SSU rRNA". It matches the Rfam family "Bacterial small subunit ribosomal RNA", at positions 15 to 518 of the family's 1533-position model. The record is from RNAcentral.
GAUCUGGCUCAGAUUGAACGCUGGCGGCGUGCUUAACACAUGCAAGUCGCGCGUGAAAGGACUUCGGUCCGAGUAAAGCGGCGCACGGGUGAGUAACGCGUGGAUGAUCUACCCAUGAGUUAGGAAUAACGGCUGGAAACGGUCGCUAAUACCAAAUACGCUCCGAUUUCAACUUCGGGGGAAAGGUGGCCUCUGCCUGCAAGCUACUGCUCAUGGAUGAGUCCGCGUCCCAUUAGCUAGUUGGUGGGGUAACGGCCCACCAAGGCGACGAUGGGUAGCCGGUCUGAGAGGAUGACCGGCCACACUGGGACUGGAACACGGCCCAGACUCCUACGGGAGGCAGCAGUGGGGAAUAUUGCGCAAUGGGCGAAAGCCUGACGCAGCGACGCCGCGUGAGGGGAAUGAAGGUCCUCGGAUCGUAAACCUCUGUCAGGAGGGAAGAACCGCCACGGUGCUAAUCAGCCGUGGUCUGACGGUACCUCCAAAGGAAGCACCGGCUAACUCCGUGCCAGCAGCCGC